This is a long non-coding RNA of Mizuhopecten yessoensis (Yesso scallop), 878 nucleotides long. RefSeq lists it as uncharacterized. Lineage: Eukaryota; Metazoa; Mollusca; Bivalvia; Pectinida; Pectinidae. The transcript has 2 exons. The record is from RefSeq and is a predicted model, not a curated record.
ACUACGCUCAUUGGUUGUUAUAUAUAUAUAUAGUGAUACGUUACAAUCGAUUCGUUAACGGUUCGUACUAGCUAACUAAAGAGUCCAUUCAUUUUAUUGUUUGGACCUAACGAUACAAAAACAUUAUAAUUUCAAAAAGAGAAUCAAUACAUGUUAAAGCCAUGUAUUGAAAAACUACAUUUUCAAGAAACAAAAGGGAGACUGGAACUGUUUAACGCUUCAGUUACUAGUUAUUGUUAUUUGUUACAACUAAUAUGCAUCUAUCAACACUUUUUACACUGACCUGUAUAUUUACGUGUCUAUAUAUGAGACGGGCCAGUGCCAGGCCCUAUGAAGAUGGACAACUCGCAGCGCUGACAGACGAGGUGUUAUACGAUGACUCAAUCCCCCUGCCUUCUAUGUCAAGGAACACUCUACUAACACUACUGCUAAAGAGCUUGGCGCCACCUAGUGAUGACGAGGUUCAAAUGAGAGGGAAACGACAGCGACGUUGUUAUUGGUCUGUUGUAACGUGCUUUGGGUAACACCACAAGUCAUGUGAUAACAUCACGGAGGUGACGUCAUAAACACAAGUGAAACCUGUAAAUACAGAAGAAGUAAACUGCUGACGUUGGCUGUUUGACAGAAAAUACAAAAACAAAUAUCACUGAAAAAAUAUUUCGCAGGUCGAAUACGUGAUUGCGUAAGAUAUUAUAUGAAUCAGAUGAAAUAGCUUGUUAGAAAUAUCUAUAUUUAUAAAAAUGAAAAGAGCGUGUCGAUAGUUCUGUAUCUAUGUGUCAAUACUAACGACAGUAACAUGCCAACUGAUUCAUAUUCUGUUCAUCCUUUUGAUUUGUUCACUAUAUAUAGAUGUGUCAAUAAAAAGAGCUAACGUCAAA